AUCAGCAAAUCAUGUAGCUAGCUAUAUUUUGGAUUCACAUUAUACAUCCAUUUUGCCUAUGCUGGCUAGAAUGGUAACUUGGCUAGUUAGUUCUAUCCAUAUAAUUAGGAAUUAGGAUCUUUAUGGUUCAAUAUUUGACUAGCUAACGUUAGCAAAUGAUAGUAGCCUGUAGCUGAUAAUAUUUCUGUUUAAAAAAUGGCCUGGUUAGGUUUGCUAAGGUAACCAGUGAAAUCCAAAUAGAGACUAAGAAAUGUGGGUGGGUGGGUGGUUAAAUUGUGUGUUGUGUAUUUUGUUGUAGGUGUUAAAGAAUUUGAUUCCACCAGCAUGUCCUUCCACGUCGAACUCUGUACAAGGUGUGAUGACUGACCCUGAAGCUGCUGCUUUUUCAUCAGGUCAUGACCCCAGCUUCAACAGCACUGAGCCCGCAGACCCAAAGGAUGAGAGUUUUCACCUGGGAUCAAGCUCAACGUCAUCUUCAGAAGAGGAAGAGUCACAUUUAGGUUCUGAGUGGCAAGAUUCUGGCUGGCAAGAGCCGAAGUGUAUGAUGAAUGAGUCCAAAAUCAUGGAACUCAUGAAGUUCUGCCAGACAUGUGGACAGCCAAUAGUGAACACAGAGAUUUCAUACCUGGGAGCAAUGAUGAAAGUCAAAUGGGAUUGUAAUGGGGGACAGUCUGAAAUCUGACUUCCUCUCCUCUCCUCACGGCUGCAUCUGUGCUUUUCACAGGUUGUACCUACACUGAACUGGAAGACUGGGCUAAGACUAUGUACCUGAAGAUGAUUGGCAGCACAACCUUCUAUGACAUUCAAAAGGCUUACCUGCUUCCAGUGAUAAAUGUGGAAUAUGAGGAAAGGAGGACAGCUAUUUUAGGAAGACUGUUCCUAAAUCAACUAGAUGGCUUUGGAGCACAGGUGUCCGGGGUCGACGCAGUGACUCCCCUGGCUUCAAUGCAAAGUUGACAAACUACACCCUGAUGACGGACGGCACACACAAGAUUAUGCACACUGAGCUGAUACAGGUCACAGAGGCUCACAACUCUAUUGAAAUGGAGCCAAUUGGCUUCAAGCGCUCCCUGACUUCACUUCUUGACAUGGGUCUUCAAGUGGAUAUGGUUACUAUGUUCAUAAAAUGAUGCACGAGACCUUCUCAGAAAUCCUCCGUCAGAUUGUUGUAUGGUAUACACUAAAAGGUCUCCAAAAGAAGCUGGUGUUGAAGUCCAAGAAGCGAGGGAACAAUGGUUUGUGUCCGUGGAUACGCUCAAUCACCAAUCAUCUCUACUGGAGUGCAAAAUGCAAAGGAGAUCUAGAGCACCCCCCCUUAAAGCGCCGUUGGACUUCAGUUCUUCAACACAUCUCUGACGUCCACAGCUGGCCCAAGGAUGGGGAGGAAGUCUGUUGUCACCACGCUGAACUAAGCGACGUUGACAGGGUUAAGAAGAUGUGGCUGUCCAGUGACUCAGCUGUGUAUGAUGACCUGUCUUCAAUCAUUCUGGACAAGAGUUUGUGGACUGACUUGUCACAGAUGGCAGAAUUCAAGCACACCGGUUAUCUGGAGUCCUUCCACAGUACGCUGCUUAACUACACCCCAAUGCAUCUUCAUUUUAAGUACCCAGGCAUGAAGGAGCGAACACACCAUGCCGUUAUGGAACACAACGAGAAUGUGGGACGGAAACAAGCCAGGACACUUAAACAUACUUUUCUUCUCAAUACAAAAACAUGUCAACAAAAGGCUCCCUGCCAAGGGCUACUAUUGACAUUGUCGAUGAGCUGGGGAGGUUUACAGACAGGUCAUUGAGAUGAGGAAUUGGGGCUCUUGGUAGACGUCUCAUCAGGGAUGUUCUCAGAGACAGUAAAUGUAUUGUUGUGUAUGAGAGAGAUUGAGAGGUGUCAUUUCUCCUCAAUGUCUGUCAUACACAACAAUGCAUACUUACUGUCUAACAACUGCCCUCCUAAGAUCUUCUGCAACCCCUAGCCCAUUAAGUUUGUUGAGUGAUUGUUUUUUCAUUGUCCCUGAACAAUACACUAGCCGGUCUCAUCACUUACGCCGCAUCCUGUUGACACCUUUACCAACAAAGGUGUGUUGCCCUAUAUUUCUUCCCCAAUUAAGUGUAAGCACAUAGGCUCAGAUAAUGUAUCAGAUUGAAAUUGCUAACACCAGGUCCUCCCGAGUGGCGCAGCGGUCUAAGGCACUGCAUCACAGUGCUAGAGGCCUCAC
Long non-coding RNA from Coregonus clupeaformis (lake whitefish), 2212 nucleotides. RefSeq lists it as uncharacterized. The record is from RefSeq and is a predicted model, not a curated record. The transcript has 6 exons. Lineage: Eukaryota; Metazoa; Chordata; Actinopteri; Salmoniformes; Salmonidae.